UGGGCCGCUAGCUCAGCUGGUAGAGCAGCAGACUCUUAAUCUGCGGGUCCUGAGUUCGAUCCUCGGGCGGCUCAA
RNAcentral lists this transfer RNA (75 nucleotides) under Spirochaetia bacterium. RNAcentral describes it as "tRNA-Lys". It matches the Rfam family "tRNA". From Rfam's summary of the family: Transfer RNA (tRNA) molecules are approximately 80 nucleotides in length. Lineage: Bacteria; Pseudomonadati; Spirochaetota; Spirochaetia. The record is from RNAcentral.